GAUGAACGCUGGCGGCGUGCCUAAUACAUGCAAGUCGAGCGAACGGACGAGAAGCUUGCUUCUCUGAUGUUAGCGGCGGACGGGUGAGUAACACGUGGAUAACCUACCUAUAAGACUGGGAUAACUUCGGGAAACCGGAGCUAAUACCGGAUAAUAUUUUGAACCGCAUGGUUCAAAAGUGAAAGACGGUCUUGCUGUCACUUAUAGAUGGAUCCGCGCUGCAUUAGCUAGUUGGUAAGGUAACGGCUUACCAAGGCUACGAUGCAUAGCCGACCUGAGAGGGUGAUCGGCCACACUGGAACUGGGACCCGGUCCAGACUCCUACGGGAGGCAGCAGUAGGGAAUCUUCCGCAAUGGGCGAAAGCCUGACGGAGCAACGCCGCGUGAGUGAUGAAGGUCUUCGGAUCGUAAAACUCUGUUAUUAGGGAAGAACAUAUGUGUAAGUAACUGUGCACAUCUUGACGGUACCUAAUCAGAAAGCCACGGCUAACUACGU
Molecule: ribosomal RNA, 496 nt
Filed under: uncultured bacterium
Lineage: Bacteria
Description: partial 16S ribosomal RNA
Rfam family: Bacterial small subunit ribosomal RNA
Source: RNAcentral